This 324-nucleotide long non-coding RNA is filed under the name Physcomitrium patens. RNAcentral describes it as "long non-coding RNA (PPAT_LNC004070)". The record is from RNAcentral. Lineage: Eukaryota; Viridiplantae; Streptophyta; Bryopsida; Funariales; Funariaceae.
UAGAUCCUCAUUUCCAAUAAUAUGUAAGCAAAUAUCAAAAGUAAACUAGAGUAACUAACAUCCAUUUGUUGUUGAUGGUCACAGUUUACAAAACAUAUAACAAUAAAAGAAAAUUAUAAUAAAGUGAAAUGUAGAUAAGUGAGAGAAAAUCAAAAAUUUACUUAGAAAGAAAUUAGGAUUUUAUUAAUGCUACUUCAAUGCUCCAAAUGAUCUCCACUCUAAAAAUUAAAUAUGCCAAUAGAUUCUUUGAGCUUCUUUUUCAUAAAUUGAUUAAAAAAUAAUCAAAAUUUGGAUUCUAUAUGAACUUGAAGUGAGCUUCCAAAU